This 468-nucleotide ribosomal RNA is filed under the name uncultured bacterium. RNAcentral describes it as "partial 16S ribosomal RNA". It matches the Rfam family "Bacterial small subunit ribosomal RNA", at positions 28 to 507 of the family's 1533-position model. The record is from RNAcentral.
GACGAACGCUGGCGGCGUGCUUAACACAUGCCAGUCGAACGGAAAGGCCCUGCUGUUGUGGGGUGCUCGAGGGGCGAACGGGUGAGUAACACGUGAGUAACCUGCCCUUGACUUUGGGAUAACUUCAGGAAACUGGGGCUAAUACCGGAUAGGAGCUCCUGCUGCAUGGUGGGGGUUGGAAAGUUUCGGCGGUUGGGGAUGGACUCGCGGCUUAUCAGCUUGUUGGUGGGGUAGUGGCUUACCAAGGCUUUGACGGGUAGCCGGCCUGAGAGGGUGACCGGCCACAUUGGGACUGAGAGACGGCCCAGACUCCUACGGGAGGCAACAGUGGGGAGUAUUGCACAGUGGGCGGAAGCCUGAUGCAGCAACGCCGCGUGCGGGAUGACGGCCUUCGGGUUGUAAACCGCUUUCGCCUGUGACGAAGCGUGAGUGACGGUAAUGGGUAAAGAAGCACCGGCUAACUACGUG